RNAcentral lists this ribosomal RNA (1332 nucleotides) under Nodularia sp. B-CY-NM40. Its description in RNAcentral is "bacterial SSU rRNA". It matches the Rfam family "Bacterial small subunit ribosomal RNA", at positions 54 to 1432 of the family's 1533-position model. Lineage: Bacteria; Bacillati; Cyanobacteriota; Cyanophyceae; Nostocales; Nodulariaceae. The record is from RNAcentral.
CAUGCAGUCGAACGGGAUCUUCGGAUCUGUGGCGGACGGGUGAGUAACGCGUGAGAAUCUGGCUUCAGGUCGGGGACAACCACGGGAAACUGUGGCUAAUACCGGAUAUGCCGAGAGGUGAAAGGCUUGCUGCCUGAAGAUGAGCUCCCGUCUGAUUAGCUAGUAGGUGUGGUAAAAGCGCACCUAGGCCACGAUUAGUAGCUGGUCUGAGAGGAUGAUCAGCCACACUGGGACUGAGACACGGCCCAGACUCCUACGGGAGGCAGCAGUGGGGAAUUUUCCGCAAUGGGCGAAAGCCUGACGGAGCAAUACCGCGUGAGGGAGGAAGGCUCUUGGGUUGUAAACCUCUUUUCUCAGGGAAGAAAAAAAUGACGGUACCUGAGGAAUAAGCAUCGGCUAACUCCGUGCCAGCAGCCGCGGUAAUACGGAGGAUGCAAGCGUUAUCCGGAAUGAUUGGGCGUAAAGGGUCCGCAGGUGGCUAUGUAAGUCUGCUGUUAAAGAACCUAGCUUAACUAGGUAAAAGCAGUGGAAACUACAAGGCUAGAGUGCGUUCGGGGUAGAGGGAAUUCCUGGUGUAGCGGUGAAAUGCGUAGAUAUCAGGAAGAACACCAGUGGCGAAGGCGCUCUACUAGGCCGCAACUGACACUGAGGGACGAAAGCUAGGGGAGCGAAUGGGAUUAGAUACCCCAGUAGUCCUAGCCGUAAACGAUGGAUACUAGGCGUGGCUUGUAUCGACCCAAGCCGUGCCGGAGCUAACGCGUUAAGUAUCCCGCCUGGGGGAGUACGCACGCAAGUGUGAAACUCAAAGGAAUUGACGGGGGCCCGCACAAGCGGUGGAGUAUGUGGUUUAAUUCGAUGCAACGCGAAGAACCUUACCAAGACUUGACACGUCGCGGAUCUUCUUGAAAGGGAAGAGUGCCUUCGGGAGCGCGAACACAGGUGGUGCAUGGCCGUCGUCAGCUCGUGUCGUGAGAUGUUGGGUUAAGUCCCGCAACGAGCGCAACCCUCGUUUUUAGUUGCCAGCAUUAAGUUGGGCACUCUAGAGAGACUGCCGGUGACAAACCGGAGGAAGGUGGGGAUGACGUCAAGUCAGCAUGCCCCUUACGUCUUGGGCUACACACGUACUACAAUGCUACGGACAAAGGGUAGCUACACAGCAAUGUGAUGCCAAUCUCAGAAACCGUAGCUCAGUUCAGAUCGCAGGCUGCAACUCGCCUGCGUGAAGUCGGAAUCGCUAGUAAUUGCAGGUCAGCAUACUGCAGUGAAUUCGUUCCCGCGCCUUGUACACACCGCCCGUCACCCCAUGGAAGCUGGUCACGCCCGAAGUCGUUA